CUGGAAAGACACAAAACCAACAGCCCUCUCUAUACAAGAGACAGUCGACAACUCUUGGCUGACUCUUUGCGAUGUUGCUACCUGUCCUUCUUAUGAAGAAGCGAACAGCGAGUGUCUGACCCCAUCUCACUCUAUCCUAUUUUGAAGAAAUGAGUCAGCCCCUUUCCUGAAUGGGGCCAGCCGAGGGAGGCUGCCAGGUGUUCCCCUGGACAGAUGGAUUGUCUGAUAUUUGCAGAUGCCUCAGCCCCUCAUCGAGGCUUCCCUGCACCCUGUCCUCACACUCUAUGAGCCAGCCUCCUUCCCAGUUGCCCUGCCUCUCCAGAGAACUCUCUACCCUCUUUAAUGCCAAAAGCAGUCACUUAUUUUCUCCUAUGAACACUGGGAAAUAGUAACUGACCACAUUUUUGGUUUUGCUUUGGUUGCUUGAAGAUGUAUGGCCACAGUUGUGGCUUACCAUGAUAAGGGCAUAGAUCACGCUGGUAGAAGAAUGAUGAAAAAAUACACAAUUCUAAUACUCAGAGAUAAGGACACUUUGAAGUUUGUGGUACAGCCUCCCAGACUACACACAUACGUAAAAGUGGGAUUUUACAAUACAUAGAGUUUAUACUGUGACUCUUGACUUCUUGGAGGCCAUAGUCAUUUCAAGAAGGUCAUGAGACUUCUAGCUCCCUUUGAGGAAAAAUCCUCUUAGGCCUAUACAUACAAAC
This 707-nucleotide long non-coding RNA is filed under the name Homo sapiens (human). Its description in RNAcentral is "HSALNT0164195". Lineage: Eukaryota; Metazoa; Chordata; Mammalia; Primates; Hominidae. The record is from RNAcentral.